Polypterus senegalus (gray bichir) is the source of this 134-nucleotide long non-coding RNA. RefSeq lists it as uncharacterized. The transcript has 3 exons. Lineage: Eukaryota; Metazoa; Chordata; Cladistia; Polypteriformes; Polypteridae. The record is from RefSeq and is a predicted model, not a curated record.
AGUAGAGCUGCAGAUGAGGAUCUGUGUGAGCGAGAGUAGUUAUUGUGAUUAUAAAUCGAACUUGAUUGGUUUGUACAACCAUAGAAAACAAACGUUGGCUUAUGCUUCAUGAUGCUCAAACAAUGAUGGACGGA